RNAcentral lists this long non-coding RNA (199 nucleotides) under Elaeis guineensis (African oil palm). RNAcentral's name for it is "long non-coding RNA (EGUI_LNC057658)". The record is from RNAcentral. Lineage: Eukaryota; Viridiplantae; Streptophyta; Magnoliopsida; Arecales; Arecaceae.
GCCAUUAAUACUCAUGUGCAGGACUGUGAGAUGUGUACUGGAUAACAUGCUACUCAAGAUUGCUUGAUUGAUGGUUCAUUCAUGCCUCCAGUAUAAGAACUGUUAGAAAAUGGAUAGACUAGCAUGCAUGGAUUUUAAAAUAAUUUUGAAAUAGCAGCAAAAACUGAUCUAGGUUAAACUCUUUAACCCUAUAUGCAAU